AUCAGACACGGUGCCAGCCGCCGCGGUAAUACGUAGGGUGCGAGCGUUAAUCGGAAUUACUGGGCGUAAAGCGUGCGCAGGCGGUUUGGCAAGUCUAGAUGUGAAAAUCCCCGAGCUCAACUUGGGAACUGCGUUUGAAAACUGCCAGACUAGAAUAUGUCAGAGGGGGUAGAAUUCCACGUGUAGCAGUGAAAUGCGUAAGAGAUGUGGAGGAAUACCAAUGGCGAAGGCACGCCCCCUGGGAUAAUAUUGACGCUCAUGCACGAAAGCGUGGGGAGCAAACAGGAUUAGAUACCCUGGUAGUCCACGCCCUAAACGAUGUCUACUAGUUGUUGGUGGAGUAAAAUCCA
RNAcentral lists this ribosomal RNA (350 nucleotides) under uncultured bacterium. Its description in RNAcentral is "bacterial SSU rRNA". It matches the Rfam family "Bacterial small subunit ribosomal RNA", at positions 495 to 839 of the family's 1533-position model. The record is from RNAcentral.